Molecule: small RNA, 769 nt
Filed under: Pongo abelii (Sumatran orangutan)
Lineage: Eukaryota; Metazoa; Chordata; Mammalia; Primates; Hominidae
Description: processed transcript
Source: RNAcentral
ACCACCACCUGCUCGGUGUCUAUGCUUUGGCUGAUGUAUCAGAGCCCAGAGUGCAGCCAGACUGUGGGCUGGCACCCCCAAGGGUGGCUGCCAGAGUGAGACCCUCAGCUGUGUCUUCCUUGAACAGCAGAGGUGACAUGAGAAGUAUGUCCAAGCUGGGAGAGGCCUCCUUCAGUGGAGCAUCCGGUUUUGCUCCUUCUCUUUGUGUGGAUGGAAACCAAGGCCUACAGAGGGGAAGGCACUUGCCCAAAGCCACACAGUACAGAGCUGGCCAAGCUGACACCACUGCUGGUCUGUCCGCGGGGUGUGGAAUGAACGAGGGCUGGAAGGCUGAGGGUGGAGUGCAGUGGUGCAGUCUUGGCUCACUGCAAUUUCUGCCUCCUGGAUUCAAGUGAUUCUCCCACCUCAGCCUCCCAAGUAGCUGGGACUACGGGCGAUAGAGACCUACUUGCUGAAUGUCUCUCCCGGGGGGCUGACCUACAUUGCCGAGUGGCGAGGGGGGAUUCUGGACCACAAGAUGGGGCACCUGGCCUGUUUCUCCGGGGGCAUGAUCGCCCUUGGCGCCGAGGAUGCCAAGGAAGAAAAGAGGGCCCACUACCGAGAGCUCGCAGCCCAGAUCACCAAGACGUGUCACGAGUCAUACGCCCGCUCAGGCCUUGGAGAAAUACUGUCGGACAGAAGCCGGUUUCUCCGGGAUCCAAGACGUGUACAGUAGCAACCCCAACCAUGACAACAAGCAGCAGAGCUUCUUUCUAGCGGAGACACUAAA